AGCGAACGCUGGCGGCAGGCCUAACACAUGCAAGUCGAACGAACUCUUCGGAGUUAGUGGCGGACGGGUGAGUAACACGUGGGAACGUGCCUUUAGGUUCGGAAUAACUCAGGGAAACUUGAGCUAAUACCGGAUGUGCCCUUCGGGGGAAAGAUUUAUCGCCUUUAGAGCGGCCCGCGUCUGAUUAGCUAGUUGGUGAGGUAAAGGCUCACCAAGGCGACGAUCUGUAGCUGGUCUGAGAGGAUGAUCAGCCACAUUGGGACUGAGACACGGCCCAAACUCCUACGGGAGGCAGCAGUGGGGAAUCUUGCGCAAUGGGCGAAAGCCUGACGCAGCCAUGCCGCGUGAAUGAUGAAGGUCUUAGGAUUGUAAAAUUCUUUCACCGGGGACGAUAAUGACGGUACCCGGAGAAGAAGCCCCGGCUAACUUCGUG
RNAcentral lists this ribosomal RNA (433 nucleotides) under uncultured bacterium. Its description in RNAcentral is "partial 16S ribosomal RNA". It matches the Rfam family "Bacterial small subunit ribosomal RNA", at positions 29 to 507 of the family's 1533-position model. The record is from RNAcentral.